AAACCAUUAAGACAAAUACAAAUACAUGUGAUGCAAAGUUUCUGUCAACUCUGGGUUAUUAUGCUAGAUCUUGAUUAUCUCUUCCAUAAGAUUUUGCUUAUUAAUAAGAUUUUUUUUUUCCAAUCUC
Molecule: non-coding RNA, 127 nt
Organism: Hydra vulgaris (swiftwater hydra)
Lineage: Eukaryota; Metazoa; Cnidaria; Hydrozoa; Anthoathecata; Hydridae
Source: RefSeq, a predicted model, not a curated record